UCCAUACUGGUUCUCUGCCAUGACAAUGAAAAGUGUGGGAAGUGCAGCUCUAAAAAUGGUUGAGGAGGUCCGUCGACAAUUCAAUACUAUUCCCGGACUUAUGGAAGGUAGAGCUAAACCAGACUAUACCAAUUGUGUCAAAAUUUCAACUGAUGCCUCACUCAGGGAGAUGAUCCCACCUGGUGCUUUGGUUAUGCUUACACCACUCAUUGCUGGAACCUUCUUUGGAGUUGAAACUCUCGCUGGUGUUCUUGCUGGUUCACUUGUCUCUGGUGUCCAGGUCGCCAUCUCAGCUUCCAACACUGGAGGGGCAUGGGACAACGCCAAGAAAUACAUUGAGGCUGGUGCUUCUGAGCA
Molecule: unclassified non-coding RNA, 357 nt
Filed under: Hevea brasiliensis (rubber tree)
Lineage: Eukaryota; Viridiplantae; Streptophyta; Magnoliopsida; Malpighiales; Euphorbiaceae
Source: RNAcentral